UUCUUCGGGAGUAGAGACCGGCGCACGGGUGCGUAACGCGUAUGCAAUCUACCUUUUACAGAGGGAUAGCCCAGAGAAAUUUGGAUUAAUACCUCAUAGUAUAAUAGCUCGGCAUCGAGCAAUUAUUAAAGUCACAACGGUAAAAGAUGAGCAUGCGUCCCAUUAGCUAGUUGGUAAGGUAACGGCUUACCAAGGCUACGAUGGGUAGGGGUCCUGAGAGGGAGAUCCCCCACACUGGUACUGAGACACGGACCAGACUCCUACGGGAGGCAGCAGUGAGGAAUAUUGGACAAUGGGCGCAAGCCUGAUCCAGCCAUGCCGCGUGCAGGAUGACGGUCCUAUGGAUUGUAAACUGCUUUUGUACAGGAAGAAACAGUUCUACGUGUAGAACCUUGACGGUACUGUAAGAAUAAGGAUCGGCUAACUCCGUGCCAGCAGCCGCGGUAAUACGGAGGAUCCAAGCGUUAUCCGGAAUCAUUGGGUUUAAAGGGUCCGUAGGCGGUUUAAUAAGUCAGUGGUGAAAGCCCAUCGCUCAACGGUGGAACGGCCAUUGAUACUGUUAAACUUGAAUUAUUAGGAAGUAACUAGAAUAUGUAGUGUAGCGGUGAAAUGCUUAGAGAUUACAUGGAAUACCAAUUGCGAAGGCAGGUUACUACUAAUUGAUUGACGCUGAUGGACGAAAGCGUGGGUAGCGAACAGGAUUAGAUACCCU
RNAcentral lists this ribosomal RNA (712 nucleotides) under Flavobacterium sp. 79.5_b_2_1_1. Its description in RNAcentral is "bacterial SSU rRNA". It matches the Rfam family "Bacterial small subunit ribosomal RNA", at positions 76 to 788 of the family's 1533-position model. Lineage: Bacteria; Pseudomonadati; Bacteroidota; Flavobacteriia; Flavobacteriales; Flavobacteriaceae. The record is from RNAcentral.